Peromyscus californicus insignis is the source of this 5821-nucleotide long non-coding RNA. RefSeq lists it as uncharacterized. The record is from RefSeq and is a predicted model, not a curated record. Lineage: Eukaryota; Metazoa; Chordata; Mammalia; Rodentia; Cricetidae. The transcript is spliced from 2 exons.
UUUCAAAAUACACCAAGAGGACAUCCGUGAAGGCUGUGACAGCCCAACGCCCCAGCCCGGCCUCAGAGGAGGAAUGGAGCCAUCCUGCCUGCACCCCAGCCCUGGCCCACCCUGGGUCUUCAGAGGUUUGCUGUGUCCUGCUGUGUCCCACUGUACCUGGGACCUGAGGGCACCUGGACUGAACUCUGUGAUGGAAUGGGAGCCCUUGGGUGUUUCAACAACUCCACUGUGGUGCAUCUCUGCAGAGAUAACGUGGACAAAGAGAACCCUUGGAGUCAAGUCAGCUGAAAAGACCUACCUUCUCCAUCAUCUCUCACAAUCAUCUCUCAUUUGCUCCGUUGUCCAGAGAAACUUCAGUCACCAUUUGUAGACUAUGCCAGUUUCUAUGGUGUUAAUUUUCCCACCAAGACUGCUUUCAAAUUCCUAACUUGCUGUCAGUGAAUAUGGAGCUGGGAAGGGAUGUGCUACCACACAGAUACAACAACAGGUGUCUGUAGCUCCAAGAAUACAGGUAAUUAUCAAACAUAGUGAGACAAUUAGGAAGAGAUGAUUUUUAAAUGCUUUUCAAAUGUUUGUUUUUUUUUUAAACACAAUUCAUUCAAUUGUAAAUUUAUAUAAUUUUGUGUUUUGUAGCAAACUUGAGGAAUUCUUGGAAAUGCAGAGGCUUGGUACUUGAGGACAGUGCCAGCCUGUCCCAGCUCUCUGCUGGAUGUCAUAACAUGGCAUUCCAUUGAUGAUGGGGACUGGCCUGCAGUGCAACCUGGAAGUCAGUUUCCCUGACUGUUUCCCCAUGGAAUCUGCCACAGAGAUGUGCCCAUGGGGCCUUAAGAACAGACUUAGUGGUGAAUUAGGAGUAAGCAUAGAGUUAAGGACUGCUGCUUAUAAAGUUAUUGUUGUCUCCAAAUCUUCUCAAGCCCUGGUCCCUGUUCUUCAUUUCCCACGCUGAUGCAGCGUCCCUUGGGUACCCACCUACUUGGUGACCAACAGGAAGGAGGACUGAUGGGCACUUUUCCUUGGAAGGUCACAUUAGCUAGUGUCAUGUCCCUCUUGGCCUUGGCUCCUUGGUUGAUGUUCUGAUGACCCCUCCUGGCUUGAGGCCAAUGCCCCCCACAACCACGUUUGGUAUAAGAAUUGAUAUUGGCUUGGGUAUCUUCUCAAAUGCAAAGGAUGGCUAUCCUGGGUCAUCUCCAAAUGUUUAAUAUGUGGCCAGCAGUAUGAUUUUCAAUUUGGUGUUACACUUUUGUGAUUCUAAUUGCAACUUGCAAUGCCAUUCUGGACUAGCUACUUCAGCAAGUCUCCGAUUGCUCAGCUAGAGAGUGGGAGCUCCAUUGCUAAUGUCACUGGACUGUCAGCGUCUGGCGAGGUGUGCACAAGGGUGCCCCACCCCCAUCACGAGGAGCUAACGUGUGCAGUGGCUGUUUGUGGCUGCAGUCCUUGUGCUGUAAGGAUCCAAUCCUCACAGUGGCCCUGGCAAACCUGCUUUGCCCUCAGUUUACCUAAGCAAUGUCUUUGGGAUCCCCUUGAGCCUGGUCUUCUGGCAAUCUCUUCUGGAGACAGAGUUAGCCCACCAUUUGAGAGAAAACAGUCUAUAGAGUUGUGGUGGAAGAAAACUAUAACCCAAGCAGCUGGGAGGGAAGAAAGAUCAUGCCGGGUGUUGUAUGUGACUUGUGAAAGCCCCUACUGCUCCUGAGUCCUUGGUCCCCAGCUGGUAGUGCCAUUUUGAGAGUUGGCCGAGACUGGGAGGUGGGGUCUGGCUGGGAAAGCAGGUCCCCAAAGGUGUGUCUUUGAUGGUUAUAUCCUCCACCCUCCCUUCCUCUUCAGUGAGCAGAGACACUCUGUCACUCCCUGCGCCGUGAUCACAGGUUUCAGUACAGCACCAGAAGCAUCAAAGCCGGGAAUAUAGACCAAUACAUCUGCAAACAGGGGCUAACGUGGAUUGUGCCCCGUAUGCCAUUCAUACCGGAUAGGCUGUCACAGCGGCCUCAAGGCUGAGUGAUACAUUACGCUAGCAAGCUCGGGAAAAGAUGUGUUUGUGUUGGCUGGAGACAAGAGUGACGAGGCUCAGGACAGCAUCACCAGUGGGAAUGCUUCCUGUCCAGAGUCCCUCCUGGGUGUUUACCCUUCGGUGGGUAUACACUGACCUGAAGGACCCAGUGCAUCCUCUUUCUCCUAAGUGCCCAGGUCACAGAGUGAGCAGUGCUUAGGAAUCAUGAUUUCAUGGGAGUGCUCGCAAAGGGUGGUGUGCUGUCUGUGGAAGGUGGGAGGAAGCACUAGAUAAUAGAUCCUGCCUGGCAGAGUGGGGUGUUUGCGGUUCAAUACGUGUGUGAAAGCCGCCAUAGGUGUGCGUGUCCGUGGACUAGUUCAUCCCCCACCACUGAAAGAGAGAGAGGGAGACAGACAGAGGGAGAGCCCUGGUGCAUUCCAGUGCAGCAUGCUGGAGAGGCCUAGGCAGAGGGAAAGGAAAAUACGGGGGCAGUGUGGGGCAGGGGACACCGCACAAUUAUGAUGCCACCCUUGUAUUCUGGGUGCAAGGUCCCACGUUUUGAGGGACCCUGUGGCAGCUCUUUGAACUUUGAGAUGAAAUACACACACACACACACACACACACACACACACACACACACACACACACACAUAUACAUACAUAUACACACAAACACAUACACACAUAAUACAUAUACAUAUAUCUAAAAGAAACUAAGGCCAUAUCAAAUUAUUCUUUUAUUGUUCCAGUCAAAAAAAGAGGAACGCCUCAGUAUGUAAACAGUUUCCCUAACACAGCGAGUUCUUAAAUAUAUAUAUUCAUUUAUUCUAAAAAAAUUUGGCAUUGUAGAGAUUUCUCAAUACAUAAUUUGUGCUUUCGCAGUUGACAUGCUUUCGCCUCGUUGUCCGUGCGCAGACGUACUUGGAGUUGAGUGACAGGAGUUACUGAAGGAUGGAAGUGGGUCAGGAGCCAAACCGGGGCCUGAGGUCUGCCCGGCUCACUUUUCAAAAGCCUGGCGGGAGGUUGGCAACAAUGACCUCAGAAGCAGAUAUCAGCUACUUUACUGCGAAGAAAAGUUGAAGCCUUCACGGGAGUUUUUUUGGGAAGAUUUUUCUCCCUGUGUUUUUCUGUGCGUCUCUAAAAGAUCAUUGGCUUUUGCUUAAGGAAAGCUACAGGGGUGUUCCAGUAUUCUCUGCAUAUGAUUUUGCUGGGCUUACAAUUUACUAUGACAUGCCACAGAAAUGCCACUUUUUCCUAUUUUUUCCACCCACAGAUUCACUGAAUUAUUUGGGAGUGCUUGACGAUUGUGUCAAGGGCAUCCUGCUUCAGUUCAGUGCAAACUGUCCUUUUGUUCAACCGUAAAGCGUCAGGAGCUAUUUUGACGCUGUGAUGGCUUUAUUAAGAAGCCCACCUGUGGCCCUCCACCUCCAGUUCAGAGUGGUCUACGAUUUAGCACCAGUUUUCACAAUGUAUUUUUAUCAAAUCCCCUGGGAAGUCGUCUACUCUGUGUCGGCCAGCCUAGGUACUGUCCCCUGGCUCCUGCAGCAUGUCUGUAUGUCUCAAUCUGGCCCCUCAUGACACAUCUUUCCCCUGGAUCUCUCACUUCCAAAGCCCACCAAGGCGCAAGGAAUAUCAAGAUGCAUCCCUUCCUGCCACACGAUACUGUUGCUUACUGCCCAUAGAGAGGCUGGCUUGUCUUCAAAUUCCAGUCAAUGUGGUCUAGCUGCCCCUCUGGAUUAAAUAUUUUUAUUCCUAAAACUAGACUCACUUUCUUCAUGUGUAAUAUGGGGAUCAGUAUUUGCUCACAGGGGUUUGUGUUGCCACACAGUAAGAGGUUGUGGCCAUGGGGUAGUAGCUUGUUGGGGACAAUGGAAGGUGUUACUAUUUAUUAGUAUCCCCCAGGGUACCUUGCUUAAGACAUUGCUCACUGGACAGUAAGCACUCACUAUGUGUCCAUGACCAGAAUGCCUUCAUAGAGCCUUGCCCUUGUCUAGCAUGAAUUAGCUGCUGAAUCUUUUAGAACAAAAAUAAGUUUUGGCAUGCUCUCAGCCUUGAAGACUGCCACACACCUGAAAAUGAAAACCUUUGUCUGUAGGACAUAAGCAUGUUAGUAAAAACUCAAGUUCUUAGGAAAGUUUCUGGAGACAGAGGUGAAAACUAAGUCUGUUUGUGUUUCUAGUUUUUCUGGGGGAGGUUAUGUUUGUUUAAAACAUUUUAAAAUUUAAUUUAAAUUUAUGUAUAUGUGUGCAUGUCUGUGUGAGUUUAAUACCACUCGUGUGGGUGCCUGAAAAUGUCAGAAGAGGGUUCUAAUCCUCUGGAGCUGAAGGUAGUUGUGAGCUGCCCUGCCUGGAUGCUGGGCAGCAACCUUGAAUCCUCUGGAAGUGCAUUCUCAACUGCUGAGUCACAGCUCCAGCACUUUGUGUUCCUUGGAAAUGGAUUCCAGUGAGGACCUCAGGACACCUCAGCUUCAAGGCCCAGUUCCAGGGCUCCUUGACUUUGUCUUGAUAAGUCUGUGUGAGCGUUUGGUGAGAGGUUUAUGGUUCAUGGAAGUGCAAUACCUCUAGACCAGAGACUCAGUCUUGUCCUCAGUUUCAUUGAACUGUGAGAAAAGGAUUUGGCACUGAUAAUGGACUUCUGAACUAGUGGACUUUCCAGAAUAACUUUCCUAUCCUAGCUCACAGAGAAACCUCUUAUUUUACUCAGGCAGGCAAGCAUCUGGGAAAGAGAUACAAGUCAUUAUUUUCUAACCAAUAAUGAAAAGGAUUUCUUCUUUCUGCUUUGGGCAAAAAAACGUGGUGGGAAAAAGCAGUGCUGUCAACGAGAGUUACAGCUGAAAUAGAGCGGAGCUCUCGAACAUGUUGCCUUGGCUUCUCCUGUGUUUUGUGUGUGGUUUAGUAUCAACACAAUUCUGGUGAAGUCCCCACAUGCAUGUUUCCAGCGGUGCAGAGCUGGAGUUGUGUUGAAAUCAGUCAUUACAUGCUGGUAUUGAGUUACUUAAAAAUUAUCUUUAUUUAUGGGAAUCUGUUUGUGUUAGAAUGUACAUGUGUGUUCAGGAGCAUCAGGUACCCAAAAGGUGGAGUUCCAGGUGGGUGUGGGCCUCCUGACACAGGUGCCUGGACCCAAGCUCUGGUCCUCUGCGAGAGCAGCAAAUGUCCUUAAAAGCUGAGCUGCCUCUUCCAUCCCCUGGGUGACUUUCUCAUUUAAUAUGCAGCUGUGUGUUUAUUCUACGUUGAUGAUGCUAACCUUCCUUGAAGUAUUUCUCUUCUUUGGUGGAGGCCACAGUGCCCUACAAAGUGCCUACCUCAUAAUUACCUGUCUGCUCCCCGGGUUAGUGUGGAGAUGCGAGAGGGAUGUGGCUGGUGAAGGAGUGCUGGGGACAGAAGUAGGAAGAACUUACAAAGUUAAAAGCUGACUCAGGGACCAGGAGUUUAAGAGUGAUGUUGACUUAGACGGACAGGGUGUAACUAGGAACUCAUGUCAGAAUCGUAGAGACAGAGACUGUAGAGUCAAACACAUGCUGGAAAAAUGAGGAGUUGAACAUCAGGUGACAGACUCUUCUCAAGGCCACAGAGAACAUUCAUCGGGACACUUCACCCUGGGCCGUUAGAACACCUUAACACGUUAAAACCAUAAAAAUUCUAUAGUGUUCCUUUCAGAACACAGUAGAGUUAAGCUGGAAAUCAAUAAUAGAAAGAGACCUGGGAAAUCUUUAAACACUUUACGAUUAAACAGCACAAUUCUCAGUAACAUGGGGUGCAGAAAAAAACCUCGAGAGAAAUUAAAAAAAAAAAAUACCUUGAACCCAGUGAAGAUGAAAUGACGAUUUUAGACAUGAAG